RNAcentral lists this transfer RNA (73 nucleotides) under Chloroflexota bacterium. RNAcentral describes it as "Chloroflexi bacterium tRNA-Arg". It matches the Rfam family "tRNA". Rfam says of the family: Transfer RNA (tRNA) molecules are approximately 80 nucleotides in length. Their secondary structure includes four short double-helical elements and three loops (D, anti-codon, and T loops). Lineage: Bacteria; Bacillati; Chloroflexota. The record is from RNAcentral. RNAcentral also lists the same sequence under 1 other name.
GCCCCCGUAGCUCAGUGGAUAGAGCUGCCGCCUUCUAAGCGGUCGGUCCCGGGUUCGAUUCCUGGCGGGGGCG